Molecule: ribosomal RNA, 253 nt
Filed under: uncultured bacterium
Lineage: Bacteria
Description: partial 16S ribosomal RNA
Rfam family: Bacterial small subunit ribosomal RNA
Source: RNAcentral
AACGUAGGGGGCAAGCGUUGCUCGGAUUCACUGGGUGUAAAGGGCGCGUAGGCGGAUAAACAAGUCGGAUGUGAAAUCCCGGGGCUCAACCCCGGAACUGCAUCCGAAACUGUUUAUCUGGAGUAGUGGAGAGGAAAGCGGAACUCCUGGUGUAACGGUGAAAUGUGUAGAUAUCAGGAGGAACGCCGAUAGCGAAGGCAGCUUUCUGGACACUUAUUGACGCUGAGGCGCGAAAGCGUGGGGAGCAAACAGG